CCCCCGGCCACUGGCUCAAGACCGUCGGCACGGUCCAUCUGAGCAGCACCCACCGUGCGCUGGCCCAGCGCUGGACAAAGGAGGCAUCGAUGUCACCCGGGGCUCACGGAGACCCAGCAGAAAGCCCUGGCCACGCCCGGAACACCCGGCCCUGCUCUCCACCCAGGCAACUCCUGUUGGCCAGCACUCCCCAGACCAGCGCCACCUCCUCUAAGACGCCUCCUCUGCCUCCCCUCCCCCAGGCGGUUCUGGGGGCUUCUGUCUUUCCUUGCGUUCAAGACGCACCAGGAUCCGAAGCAUCAACCACAAGGAACGAACAACACCCCGAUUACACCACCGUAACACGAGACUUUGUUCAGGAUCUCGCUAAAUUGCUAAGCUGCCUGGGCUGAGCUGGAAUUUGCGGUCCUCCUGCCUCAGCCUCCCAGAGUGCAGGGAUGACAGCUGUGUGCUACCGUGCCUGGCUUUUUUCUACUUCUUCCAACUCAGAUUUCUAAACACAUUUCUCCUGAGCUUCCUAACAAGAGGGAAUCGUUAAGGAAGAUCCCCAGCCCGUGUUUUCUGUGUUCCAGGGCCAGCUUUUCCAAGUCACCUUUUGCCCCAGAGUUCUGCCCACAGCACUGUUCCCCAUUAUGGGGGGUGGGGUGGGGUGGGUGAUGGUUGAUGUUGUCUCCCCUGGGUACCAGGAUUUUCCUCCCAGGUGCUCUGAGGGAUCCACGGAGCUCCUCUUUAGCCUCACACAGUCCAGCAACGUUUGCUGACUGACACUCUGUGAGCCACACCUCCCUAGCUCCGUCCUACCCCAGGGCCUUUGGACAGCUGGGCUCUCUGGCUGGAACCCUGCUCCAUACAUUCACUGGGCUCCUCCUCACCUGCAUGUGCGUGUCCCUCCACUGUCACCUCUGCUGUGACCUUGUCCCACAGCCUCUCAAUGACAACACUCACCCCUCACUCCGAGUCCCCUUUCUCACGGUUUUCAG
RNAcentral lists this long non-coding RNA (980 nucleotides) under Heterocephalus glaber (naked mole-rat). RNAcentral describes it as "lncRNA (ENSHGLG00000040177.1)". Lineage: Eukaryota; Metazoa; Chordata; Mammalia; Rodentia; Bathyergidae. The record is from RNAcentral.